CGAACGCUGGCGGCGUGCUUAACACAUGCAAGUCGAACGAAGAGCGAUGGAAGCUUGCUUCUAUCAAUCUUAGUGGCGAACGGGUGAGUAACGCGUAAUCAACCUGCCCUUCAGAGGGGGACAACAGUUGGAAACGACUGCUAAUACCGCAUACGAUCUAACCUCGGCAUCGAGGAUAGAUGAAAGGUGGCCUCUACAUGUAAGCUAUCACUGAAGGAGGGGAUUGCGUCUGAUUAGCUAGUUGGAGGGGUAACGGCCCACCAAGGCGAUGAUCAGUAGCCGGUCUGAGAGGAUGAACGGCCACAUUGGGACUGAGACACGGCCCAGACUCCUACGGGAGGCAGCAGUGGGGAAUCUUCCGCAAUGGACGAAAGUCUGACGGAGCAACGCCGCGUGAGUGAUGACGGCCUUCGGGUUGUAAAGCUCUGUUAAUCGGGACGAAAGGCCUUCUUGCGAAUAGUUAGAAGGAUUGACGGUACCGGAAUAGAAAGCCACGGCUAACUACGUG
This 508-nucleotide ribosomal RNA is filed under the name uncultured bacterium. Its description in RNAcentral is "partial 16S ribosomal RNA". It matches the Rfam family "Bacterial small subunit ribosomal RNA", at positions 30 to 507 of the family's 1533-position model. The record is from RNAcentral.